RNAcentral lists this ribosomal RNA (1196 nucleotides) under Citrobacter koseri. Its description in RNAcentral is "partial 23S ribosomal RNA". It matches the Rfam family "Bacterial large subunit ribosomal RNA", at positions 1 to 1064 of the family's 2925-position model. The record is from RNAcentral. Lineage: Bacteria; Pseudomonadati; Pseudomonadota; Gammaproteobacteria; Enterobacterales; Enterobacteriaceae.
GGUUAAGCGAAUAAGCGUACACGGUGGAUGCCUAGGCAAUCAGAGGCGAUGAAGGACGUGCUAAUCUGCGAAAAGCGUCGGUAAGGUGAUAUGAACCGUUAUACCCGACGAUAUCCGAAUGGGGAAACCCAGUAUCCAAUGGAUACUAUCAUUAACUGAAUCCAUAGGUUAAUGAGGCGAACCGGGAGAACUGAAACAUCUCAGUACCCCGAGGAAAAGAAAUCAACCGAGAUUCCCCUAGUAGCGGCGAGCGAACGGGGAGCAGCCCAGAGUCUUAAUCAAUAGCAGUGUCAGGAGAACGGUCUGGAAAGUCCGGCAGUAAAGGGUGAUAGCCCCGUAUCUGAAGAUGCUGUUAUUGUGAACUCGACGAGUAGGGCGGGACACGUGUUAUCCUGUCUGAAUAUGGGGGGACCAUCCUCCAAGGCUAAAUACUCCUGAUUGACCGAUAGUGAACCAGUACCGUGAGGGAAAGGCGAAAAGAACCCCGGCGAGGGGAGUGAAAAAGAACCUGAAACCGUGUACGUACAAGCAGUAGGAGCCCCAUCACUCAAGUGCCUCGCACUGAGUGAUGCAAGAACAUCACCGAAAAUAGCGCCGAAUUUGCUAACAAGGUUGGUCGAUUUUUUCAAGCCGUCGCGCAGUGUACCUAGAAGUACACGAGCAACGGAAGUUAAAAAAUCGGGCAAGAUUGAACGCAAAGGCAAGCGGGACAUUUGAGGAUGGGGUGACUGCGUACCUUUUGUAUAAUGGGUCAGCGACUUAUAUUCUGUAGCAAGGUUAACCGUAUAGGGGAGCCGUAGGGAAACCGAGUCUUAACUGGGCGAAUGAGUUGCAGGGUAUAGACCCGAAACCCGGUGAUCUAUCCAUGGGCAGGUUGAAGGUUGGGUAACACUAACUGGAGGACCGAACCGACUAAUGUUGAAAAAUUAGCGGAUGACUUGUGGAUGGGGGUGAAAGGCCAAUCAAACCGGGAGAUAGCUGGUUCUCCCCGAAAGCUAUUUAGGUAGCGCCUCGUGAACUCAUCUUCGGGGGUAGAGCACUGUUUCGACUAGGGGGUCAUCCCGACUUACCAACUCGAUGCAAACUGCGAAUACCGAAGAAUGUUAUCACGGGAGACACACGGCGGGUGCUAACGUCCGUCGUGAAGAGGGAAACAACCCAGACCGCCAGCUAAGGUCCCAAAGUCAUGGUUAAGU